RNAcentral lists this ribosomal RNA (497 nucleotides) under uncultured bacterium. RNAcentral describes it as "bacterial SSU rRNA". It matches the Rfam family "Bacterial small subunit ribosomal RNA", at positions 1 to 507 of the family's 1533-position model. The record is from RNAcentral.
GUAGACACGAGUUUGAUCAGUGGCUACAGGACGACGCUGGCGGCGCGCCUAACACAUGCAAGUCGAACGAGAGAUGAGGAGCUUGCUCUUCAAAUCGAGUGGCGAACGGGUGAGUAACGCGUGAGGAACCUGCCUCAAAGAGGGGGACAACAGUUGGAAACGACUGCUAAUACCGCAUAAGCCCACAGCUCGGCAUCGAGCAGAGGGAAAAGGAGCAAUCCGCUUUGAGAUGGCCUCGCGUCCGAUUAGCUAGUUGGUGAGGUAACGGCCCACCAAGGCGACGAUCGGUAGCCGGACUGAGAGGUUGAACGGCCACAUUGGGACUGAGACACGGCCCAGACUCCUACGGGAGGCAGCAGUGGGGAAUAUUGCACAAUGGGGGAAACCCUGAUGCAGCGACGCCGCGUGGAGGAAGAAGGUCUUCGGGUUGUAAACUUCUUUUACCAGGGACGAAGGACGUGACGGUACCUGGAGAAAAAGCCACGGCUAACUACGUG